Molecule: non-coding RNA, 25 nt
Filed under: Cricetulus griseus (Chinese hamster)
Lineage: Eukaryota; Metazoa; Chordata; Mammalia; Rodentia; Cricetidae
Source: RNAcentral
UAAGGAACUGUGGCGUCGUCAGCCU